RNAcentral lists this ribosomal RNA (253 nucleotides) under uncultured bacterium. RNAcentral's name for it is "partial 16S ribosomal RNA". It matches the Rfam family "Bacterial small subunit ribosomal RNA", at positions 524 to 776 of the family's 1533-position model. The record is from RNAcentral.
UACGAAAGGUGCAAGCGUUACUCGGAAUCACUGGGCGUAAAGCGCACGUAGGCGGACUCGUAGGUCAAUUGUGAAAUACCUGGGCUCAACCCGGGAACUGCAGUUGAAGCCGCUUGUCUUGAAUACCUGAGAGGGUGGGGGAAUACCUGGUGGAGAAGUGAAAUUCGUAGAGAUCAGGUGGAACACCGGAGGCGAAGGCGCCUGCCUGGCAGUGUAUUGACGCUGAGGUGCGAAAGUGCGGGGAGCAAACAGG